Molecule: long non-coding RNA, 178 nt
Organism: Bufo bufo (common toad)
Lineage: Eukaryota; Metazoa; Chordata; Amphibia; Anura; Bufonidae
Exons: 3
Source: RefSeq, a predicted model, not a curated record
GUGUUUUGCCAUUGUGUUGAUUGAACAGAGAUUGUAUGAUGAGUAGUACAGGAUAUUGUGUUUUUUGUAACUCCUUAACUUUUAUGUUACUGUGAUUUUGUAAGAGGCAAUUUUAUAGAGGUUUAUAGAGGCAGCAAUUGGUUUUAGUGUUUGUACAUUAGAGACAGCAUUUAGAGAG